GUGGGGAAUUUUGGACAAUGGGCGCAAGCCUGAUCCAGCAAUGCCGCGUGCAGGAAGAAGGCCUUCGGGUUGUAAACUGCUUUUGUACGGAACGAAACGGCUCUGGUUAAUACCCGGGGCUAAUGACGGUACCGUACGAAUAAGCACCGGCUAACUACGUGCCAGCAGCCGCGGUAAUACGUAGGGUGCAAGCGUUAAUCGGAAUUACUGGGCGUAAAGCGUGCGCAGGCGGUUGUGUAAGACAGGCGUGAAAUCCCCGGGCUCAACCUGGGAGGUGCGCUUGUGACUGCACAGCUGGAGUGCGGCAGAGGGGGAUGGAAGUCCGCGUGUAGCAGUGAAAUGCGUAGAUAUGCGGAGGAACACCGAUGGCGAAGGCAAUCCCCUGGGCCUGCACUGACGCUCAUGCACGAAAGCGUGGGGAGCAAACAGGAUUAGAUACCCCAGUAGUCC
Molecule: ribosomal RNA, 450 nt
Filed under: uncultured bacterium
Lineage: Bacteria
Description: partial 16S ribosomal RNA
Rfam family: Bacterial small subunit ribosomal RNA
Source: RNAcentral